RNAcentral lists this long non-coding RNA (4731 nucleotides) under Homo sapiens (human). RNAcentral's name for it is "non-protein coding lnc-VCAN-1:7". Lineage: Eukaryota; Metazoa; Chordata; Mammalia; Primates; Hominidae. The record is from RNAcentral.
AGACCCAGCCAGGCAAGCGCGGCCACAUAGGCAAGCGCGGCCACAUAGGCUAGACGCACUAUCUUCUCCUCUACCCCGCGCCGCCCUCCACCUCGGAGCGGGGACGUACGGUGGUGGCGGUGACACAAUGCGAGUGAGUGGAGCCUUUGGAAGGAAUUGGGCCAUGAGAAGAGCCCUCAUGAAUGGGAUUAGUUCCCUUAUAAGAAGAGACACCAAGGAAGUGAUCUUUCUCUGCCCUCUGCUAUGUGAAGACAAGGUAAGAAGACAGCUAUGAACCAAGAAGCAGGCCCUUACCAGACACCAAAUCUGCUGGUGCAUUGAUCUUGGACUUCUCAGCCUCCAGGACUGUGAGAAAUAAAUGUUUAUUGUUGAAGCCACCCAGUCUACAGUAAUUUGUUAUAGCAGCUGAAAUUGACUAAGACAAUUUAAAAAAAUUAAUCUCAUUGACUAUCAAUUUGGAUUCUGGAGCAUACCUGGAUUCAGGUAUACAUUGGAUUUGGGCAUAUCUGAACUGGAAUAUGGUCUCUAUCAUUCUAACUCCUUUAACUAAGUUAAAGUCUGUUAAGUGCCAAACCUCAGUAUUCUCAUCUGUAAAAUGAAGGUAGUGAUAGUAUCAAACUGAUAGUGGUAGGUUGUGGUGGUGCACAAAAGGGCCUAGUCCAGCACUGGACACAUGGUGAUGAUGAUGAAAGAUAAUGAUACUGAUAAAUAAGAAGACAAUACUAAUAUACAUAAUUCCAAAAGAAUUUUUCUUAAUACGUGAUCCUCUUCACUCCCCGUCUCCCAUCCCCAUUAAAUUACCUGGAAUUUUUUAGUCCAUCUUUCAGUUUGUCAAGCAACGAAUAACACUAAAGGUAGUCUUUUUUAUUAUCGUGUAAUUAUGGAAUUUUUUAUUAUUUUGCAUUUUAAAACUUUGUUUUGAAUUUCCAAAACUUUUUAUUUAAUAUCUAAAAUGUCUUUCUACUAAAAUUUUGCUCUCACCGUCUGAGACUCAAAGCAGAAAACCCAGCCAAGACCAUCUCAAAUUCUGACCUACAGAACUGGGAGUUAAUAAUUGGUGUUGUUUUAAACUGCUGAGUCUGUGGUAGUUUGCUAUGAAGACUAAUAUAGUUGGUUACUAUUGUUAUUCUAAUUUCAGGGAGAAGGAAUAAGUCAUGGAGCGGUUAGGUUAAUUGUCCAUCCUCUCAAGUUAGUAAGUGUUGGAGCCGAUAAGUGAAUCUAAACAGCGUGAAUCUAAAGCCCACUGCAUACUUCUGCCAACAAUUAUGAAGGGUCGACUGUAUGCUAAGCUCUAAUGCAUUUUUACAUAUAUUGCUUUACUAAAUAGGUUACCUCAACAACCUUUAUGAGGUAAAUAUUAUUAUUAUUUGCAUUUGACUACUGAGGAAACCAAGAAUCAAAACCUUUAAGUACAUUGCCCAGGAUCAAGGUGGCGGUGAGGAAUGGAGCCAAGAGCUAGUAUCAGAGCCCUGCUCUGGUUCCAGUAGUGAUUUUCACAGCCAUUGUGUUAAAAUGCCUAUUUAGACAGUGGUCUAACUUACUUUAUUUAUUGACAUUUUCAAUUUCAAUGGUUAUAAUUAUAAUUGUCAUUUUUUAGUACAGUUUGCAUUUCUCCCUGAUCUUCUUGAUGCAUCAUUUUAGAAUAUACAUUGCUGAAAUGUAGAAUUUCAAGCACAUUUUAAAUUCUCUACAAUAUUUGCAUAACUCAUAACACUUUUCUUCAUUGCUCCCACAAGCACCAAGAUAAUUCUUUCCUCCAACCCUCUGCUCAUGCUGUUAUCCCCACCUGAAAUGCCCUCUUACAAAUCCUACUAGCUGAAUUACAGUUUCCAUUUAAGACCUCCCCGAAUUAUUCUAGCACCAGAGAACCAUCAUUUCUUAGAAUUAACAGUGCUUUUAAUUUUUUUUCUAGUUGUUUCACUUGUGUUAAUCUUAUCUUUCCAAAGAAUUAUAUGGUUCUUACCAUUUAGAUAACUGCAUGUCUUAGACAUAGCUGAGUGUUAUGUUUUAAAUUUCUUCAGUCUUUCCACUGUGAACACUAAGGAAAAUUAAUUUUUAAGACUACAGAUUUGAUACCAAAUCCCUACUUCCUAAUAUUUCACUGCCUGAUUCCCUAAUGGAUGCUCUUUCCAGAAAAUGUGUAGGGUCAUUAAGCAAGAGUGUACCUUUGCUUUCAGAAUUUGACCCUGGUAGGAGAAAUUUCUGGUGCUUCUAAUUCUUUCCCUCCAGUUUCCCAGUCAAACUCAUUUCAGUGACUUGGUUUUUAGCUUCCUGAAAUAUGUUUGAAUAAUUAAUAUAUACACACAAUAAAAGUUCAAAGGUACAAAAGAGUGUGCAGGAAAAUAAAAGUUUUCCUCCUAAUGACAUUCCCUUCUUACACAAGGUUAUUCCCUCAGGGCCUACUGCUGAUAUCUAGUAGCUAUGCUUGUGUAUCCUUCUAAAGAUACACAAACACACCCCCCUAUAUAUGUGUGUUUAUAUGUACUUGUGCAUACAUGUGUGUAUAUAUAGUGUGUAUAUGUGUACACACAUACUUUUUACAAAAGUUACUAAAUUAUACAAUCAUGGAUCUUGCUUUUCUUCACAAACGUUCUGUGUUUUGAAAUUGUAUCAAGGACUGCAUAGUAUCUGUAUAUGUAAAUCCUUUUUGAUAGACAUUUAAGUUGCUUCCAAUCUUUUGCUAUUGCAAGCAAUAUUACAUGAAUACACAUUUUGCACAUGUGUGCAAGAUAAACAUAUUAGAAUAGAUUUGUUGAAGUAACAUUGUUGGUGGGGGGAAUGUUCAUAUAAAAUUGUGAUAGAUAUUACCAAUUUGCCAUUCAUAAGGUAUCUAUGAGUUCACCCUUCCACCUGUACUGUAUCAGACAGCUUGUCUCUCUUUAGUGUGGCUGAUAUGAUUCUUAACAGUCUUUGAAAGACAAAAAAAGGUAUCUCAUGGUUUUGAACACCUAUUAUUUUUACUGGGUUUGAGCAACUUUUCGCAUAUUUAAAAAUAAUUAUUUUCUUUAUGUGAACUGGCAUUUCAUGUAUUUUGCUUUUAUUUCUACUGAUUUGCUAACCUUUUUAUUGAUUGGUAGGAGAUCUGUAUAAGGAAAUUCAUCCAUUUGGGGUCACAUUAAUGUCAAAAAAUUUAUCCAGCUGGUUCUUGUCCUUUAACCUAGUUUACACCUAUUUGUUUGAUUUUAUUGUGCUAAAAUUGCUAAAAUAUUUUAUAUUUGGGUGAUGAAAUUUAUCCACCUUUGCUUUAAGAUUUCUAGGUUUUGAUAUUUGCUAAGAUAGGCUUUCAGUAUUCUGAAUUUAUAAACAUAUCUUACAGUGUCUUAUAGUAGUUUUAUGAAUAUUUCAUGUGUGUUUUUACAAUUCUUACCAAAUUAAAAUUUGAGAGAUAGUAUUUGUUACUAUCUUACUUGUUCUCUCAAAAACUACCAGUAAUAACAAAACCAUAUAUUGAAUAAAUCCAUAUAUUUCAAAUUAAUAUGACAUGCCAACUCACUCACUUAGUCACUAUAUAUUUGGCUCUACUGCUUGCUUUUAUAGACUGUUCCAUUGGGUUAUCUAUUCGUGUGCCAGUACUACAUGCCUAAUUGUUGUUUUAAUUUUUUUUUAAUAACUACUAGGGUAAACAUCAUCUACUUCUUUUUUAAAAAAUACUCCCUGACUAAUGUACAUUUAUUUUUUUUCCUACAUGAACUUUAGAGUGAGCUUGUCUAGUUGAAAAAAACAUAAUAAAUAUAUUUAUAGUAUUAGUAUACCUAUGUAUAUAUCCAAUUUUCUUCUGUGUUUCUCUUGUUAAGUUUCUAUUUAGAUAUUUUAUAUUUUUAUAUGCCUACCUAAAUGCAAAUUUCUUCAUUAUAUUUUGUAACUGGCUCUUCUACAUUUAUAGGAAGGCUAUCUUUGUGUGUGUGUGUGUGUGUGUGUGUGUGUGUAUGUGUGUCUAUAUAUGUGCACUAAUGUUAAACCCAGUUACUUUAUAAAUUGUAAAUUGUCUUUUAUAAUUUACAUUAUUAGCUUUUUCGUUUAUUAUUUUGGGUUUUCUAGACAUAAAAUCAUCACAUCUGAAAAGAACUUUAGUUUUACCUCCUUACCUCCUCUUCGAAUUUUCAUGCUUAUUUUUUCCAUCAAAUUGUUAUAACUGGUAUUAUGUAAUAGAUUUUAAAUAAAUGGACACACUUGGACUAUUUUUCACUCUAAUGGGACCACUCUAAUGACCUCCAAGGCACAGCACAAGGACUCUUGUCUCCCAUUUCCAGUGCAUGCACUACAGCCAUUUUCUCUAUACCAGCAUUUGCUCAGAAAAAAAAAAAAAGAGUAAGACAUUAACAUCAGUGUAGGAAGGAAAUAAGUGUCCAUGAAUAUGCAGGAUAGGAUAAAGGAGGGAAAUUAUCUUUUCUCUACAGUAAAUAAAAAGAGGCUUAUCAAGAAUUGGUAGAAUUGGAUGUCUUAAGCUUUGACGUUGCAUUUGACAGAAAAUUGGAACUCAUUGUCUUUUGAUUUAAAAGAAAGGGAUGAUAAAAUCUUCCACACCCACCAUAGCAGGAGUUAUGUGGUUAUCUAGGGAAAAACGUAUUAUAAUAGGCCAAAGGACCGUCUUAGACUAUUUCCCCUUUUAUCUAGUUUUCAUUGCCAUAUUCUUCUCUUUUCCUCCGUUUAUCACAUUGCUGAAAAUUGAGUCAGAGAUUUAUUUAUUUAAGAUAUAAAAGAUACCUGAUACAUCAAGCAUAGUAAUUGGAC